AUUGAACGCUGGCGGAAUGCUUUACACAUGCAAGUCGAACGAGACCUUCGGGUCUAGUGGCGCACGGGUGCGUAACGCGUGGGAAUCUACCCUUGGGUUCGGAAUAACAGUUAGAAAUGACUGCUAAUACCGGAUGAUGACGUAAGUCCAAAGAUUUAUCGCCCAAGGAUGAGCCCGCGUGAGAUUAGCUUGUUGGUGGGGUAAUGGCCUACCAAGGCGACGAUCUUUAGCUGGUCUGAGAGGAUGAUCAGCCACACUGGGACUGAGACACGGCCCAGACUCCUACGGGAGGCAGCAGUGGGGAAUAUUGGACAAUGGGCGAAAGCCUGAUCCAGCAAUGCCGCGUGAGUGAUGAAGGCCUUAGGGUUGUAAAGCUCUUUUACCAGGGAUGAUAAUGACAGUACCUGGAGAAUAAGCUCCGGCUAACUCCGUGCCAGCCGCCGCAGUAA
Molecule: ribosomal RNA, 449 nt
Filed under: uncultured bacterium
Lineage: Bacteria
Description: partial 16S ribosomal RNA
Rfam family: Bacterial small subunit ribosomal RNA
Source: RNAcentral